RNAcentral lists this unclassified non-coding RNA (343 nucleotides) under soil metagenome. Its description in RNAcentral is "partial contains 5.8S ribosomal RNA, internal transcribed spacer 2, and large subunit ribosomal RNA". The stretch from base 1 to 120 matches the Rfam family "5.8S ribosomal RNA", at positions 35 to 154 of the family's 154-position model. The record is from RNAcentral.
GAUGAAGAACGCAGCGAAAUGCGAUAAGUAAUGUGAAUUGCAGAAUCCAGUGAAUCAUCGAAUCUUUGAACGCACAUUGCGCCCGCCAGCAUUCUGGCGGGCAUGCCUGUUCGAGCGUCAUUUCAACCCUCGACCUCCCUUUGGGGAAGUUGGCGUUGGGGACCGGCAGCACACCGCCGGCCCUGAAAUGGAGUGGCGGCCCGUCCGCGGCGACCUCUGCGUAGUAAACCAACUCGCACCGGAACCCCGACGUGGCCACGCCGUAAAACACCCAACUUCUGAAAGUUGACCUCGGAUCAGGUAGGAAUACCCGCUGAACUUAAGCAUAUCAAUAAGCGGAGGA